Long non-coding RNA from Schistocerca americana (American grasshopper), 299 nucleotides. RefSeq lists it as uncharacterized. The record is from RefSeq and is a predicted model, not a curated record. NCBI's taxonomy places the organism in Eukaryota, Metazoa, Arthropoda, Insecta, Orthoptera, Acrididae. The transcript has 4 exons.
AGGUUGCUGUGUUGAAGGAUAUGCCCAGACAGCAAUUGGGAUCCUAAGCAGGCCAAGGGGAAUGUGUCUCUACGUGCUGGCUGCACAAGAUGAGCUAAGCCGGGAGGUGUAGCAGUGAUCGCGACACAGAGCAGAAGACAGAGGGGCCAUGUCUGCAGCGACGGGCCACUCGCUGAACCUGAUGGCGUGCGUGCGAGAGUCGUCGCCGCAGGAGCCGCCCCCCGACGCCGACCAGACCAGCCGCCAGGAGGGCAAGAGGAGGCGGUUCCACCCGCUGCGAGGGCUGCGGCGCAUGUUCC